UACGGAGGGUGCAAGCGUUAAUCGGAAUUACUGGGCGUAAAGCGUGCGCAGGCGGUUUGUUAAGUCCGUUGUGAAAGCCCCGAGCUCAACUUGGGAAUUGCAGUGGAUACUGGCAGGCUGGAGUACGGUAGAGGAAGGUGGAAUUCCCGGUGUAGCAGUGAAAUGCGUAGAUAUCGGGAGGAACACCAGUGGCGAAGGCGGCCUUCUGGACCAGUACUGACGCUCAUGCACGAGAGCGUGGGGAGCAAACAGG
This 253-nucleotide ribosomal RNA is filed under the name uncultured bacterium. RNAcentral's name for it is "partial 16S ribosomal RNA". It matches the Rfam family "Bacterial small subunit ribosomal RNA", at positions 524 to 776 of the family's 1533-position model. The record is from RNAcentral.